This is a long non-coding RNA of Daphnia pulicaria, 134 nucleotides long. RefSeq lists it as uncharacterized. The record is from RefSeq and is a predicted model, not a curated record. The transcript is spliced from 2 exons. NCBI's taxonomy places the organism in Eukaryota, Metazoa, Arthropoda, Branchiopoda, Diplostraca, Daphniidae.
GCCGUUGGCAGUGAAGACGGAACAGUCGGUUGUCACCAGCUGAUAUUUAGCACCGUUCACGGUCUCUAUAAAGAACGCUACGCAUUCAGAGAACAUCUGACAGACGUGGUAGUCCACCACUUACUGACGGAGGA